Molecule: ribosomal RNA, 871 nt
Filed under: uncultured Actinomycetes bacterium
Lineage: Bacteria; Bacillati; Actinomycetota; Actinomycetes
Description: bacterial SSU rRNA
Rfam family: Bacterial small subunit ribosomal RNA
Source: RNAcentral
CCGUCAUUAGGGUUUGAUCAUGGCUCAGGACGAACGCUGGCGGUGCGCCUUAUGCAUGCAAGUCGAGCGAAGCUUUUCAGUAGUUUACUACAGAAAAUGACUGAGCGGCGAACGGGUGAGUAACGCGUGAGCAAUCUACCUUAGUUACAGGGAUAGCCCGAGGAAACUCGGAUUAAUACCUGAUAUUCUUUAUUUCUCGCAUGAGAAUAAAAGGAAAGGUCAGCCGAACUAAGAUGAGCUCGCGUUCUAUCAGCUAGUUGGUGAGGUAAAAGCUUACCAAGGCUACGACGGAUAGCUGGUCUGAGAGGACGAUCAGCCACACUGGGACUGAGACACGGCCCAGACUCCUACGGGAGGCUGCAGCAGGGAAUAUUGUGCAAUGAACGAAAGUUUGACACAGCGACACCGCGUGUGGGAUGACGGAUCUAGGUUUGUAAACCACUUUCAGGAGGGAAGAAAAUGACGGUACCUCCACAAGAAGCCCCGGCCAACUACGUGCCAGCAGCCGCGGUAAUACGUAGGGGGCGAGCGUUGUCCGGAUUUAUUGGGCGUAAAGAGCUCGUAGGCGGUUCAACAAGUCGGUCGUGAAAGUUCAGGGCUCAACCCUGAAAUGUCGAUCGAUACUGUUGUGACUAGGAUACGGUAGAGGUGAGUGGAAUUCCGAGUGUAGCGGUGAAAUGCGUAGAUAUUCGGAGGAACACCAAUUGCGAAGGCAGCUCACUGGGCCGCUAUCGACGCUGAGGAGCGAAAGCUAGGGGAGCAAACAGGAUUAGAUACCCUGGUAGUCCUAGCUGUAAACGAUGGAUACUAGAUGUAGGAACUGGAUUGACGGUUUCUGUAUCGCAGCUAACGCGUUAAGUAUCCCGCCUGG